AGAGCAGCUUUGCAUGAGUCAGUUUAAAAUGAACCGUGACUCAUUCUGAGCUGUGAAGU
Oreochromis aureus is the source of this 59-nucleotide microRNA precursor. NCBI's taxonomy places the organism in Eukaryota, Metazoa, Chordata, Actinopteri, Cichliformes, Cichlidae. The record is from Ensembl.